UCCCUUGUGACUCAGCUGAUAAAGGGUCCGCCUGCCAUACGGGAGACCUGGGUUCGAUUCCUGGCUUGGGAA
RNAcentral lists this transfer RNA (72 nucleotides) under Bos taurus (domestic cattle). It matches the Rfam family "tRNA". From Rfam's summary of the family: Transfer RNA (tRNA) molecules are approximately 80 nucleotides in length. Their secondary structure includes four short double-helical elements and three loops (D, anti-codon, and T loops). The record is from Rfam by way of RNAcentral. RNAcentral also lists the same sequence under 2 other names. Lineage: Eukaryota; Metazoa; Chordata; Mammalia; Artiodactyla; Bovidae.